RNAcentral lists this ribosomal RNA (253 nucleotides) under uncultured bacterium. Its description in RNAcentral is "partial 16S ribosomal RNA". It matches the Rfam family "Bacterial small subunit ribosomal RNA", at positions 524 to 776 of the family's 1533-position model. The record is from RNAcentral.
UACGGAGGGUGCAAGCGUUAUCCGGUUUUAUUGGGUUUAAAGGGUGCGUAGGUGGUUUGAUAAGUCAGCGGUGAAAGUUUGCAGCUUAACUGUAAAAAUGCCGUUGAAACUGUCGUACUUGAGUGUAAAUGAGGUAGGCGGAAUGCGUGGUGUAGCGGUGAAAUGCAUAGAUAUCACGCAGAACUCCGAUUGCGAAGGCAGCUUACUAAGCAAAAACUGACACUGAAGCGCGAAAGCGUGGGGAUCAAACAGG